This 27-nucleotide non-coding RNA is filed under the name Homo sapiens (human). The record is from RNAcentral. Lineage: Eukaryota; Metazoa; Chordata; Mammalia; Primates; Hominidae.
UGGCAAGUGAUGGCAGUGGUAGAGGCA